RNAcentral lists this ribosomal RNA (253 nucleotides) under uncultured bacterium. Its description in RNAcentral is "partial 16S ribosomal RNA". It matches the Rfam family "Bacterial small subunit ribosomal RNA", at positions 524 to 776 of the family's 1533-position model. The record is from RNAcentral.
UACGGGGGGGGCAAGCGUUGUUCGGAAUUACUGGGCGUAAAGGGCUCGUAGGUGGCCAACUAAGUCAGACGUGAAAUCCCUCGGCUUAACCGGGGAACUGCGUCUGAUACUGGAUGGCUUGAGUUCGGGAGAGGGAUGCGGAAUUCCAGGUGUAGCGGUGAAAUGCGUAGAUAUCUGGAGGAACACCGGUGGCGAAGGCGGCGUUCUGGACUGCAACUGACACUGAGAAACGAAAGCCAGGGGAGCAAACGGG